ACGCUCGACACCUACGGGAAGCAGCAGUGAGGAAUAUUGGUCAAUGGGCGCAGGCCUGAACCAGCCAAGUAGCGUGAAGGAUGACUGCCCUAUGGGUUGUAAACUUCUUUUAUAUGGGAAUAAAGUUUUCCACGUGUGGAAUUUUGUAUGUACCAUAUGAAUAAGGAUCGGCUAACUCCGUGGCAGCAGCCGCGGUAAUCUGAGCGGGCUGGCAAGGC
This 218-nucleotide ribosomal RNA is filed under the name uncultured bacterium. RNAcentral describes it as "partial 16S ribosomal RNA". It matches the Rfam family "Bacterial small subunit ribosomal RNA", at positions 326 to 539 of the family's 1533-position model. The record is from RNAcentral.